This 464-nucleotide ribosomal RNA is filed under the name uncultured Rhodocyclaceae bacterium. Its description in RNAcentral is "partial 16S ribosomal RNA". It matches the Rfam family "Bacterial small subunit ribosomal RNA", at positions 338 to 794 of the family's 1533-position model. Lineage: Bacteria; Pseudomonadati; Pseudomonadota; Betaproteobacteria; Rhodocyclales; Rhodocyclaceae. The record is from RNAcentral.
CCUACGGGAGGCAGCAGUGGGGAAUUUUGGACAAUGGGGGAAACCCUGAUCCAGCCAUUCCGCGUGAGUGAAGAAGGCCUUCGGGUUGUAAAGCUCUUUCGGCAGGAACGAAACGGCGGACUCUAACAUAGUCUGUCAAUGACGGUACCUGAAGAAGAAGCACCGGCUAACUACGUGCCAGCAGCCGCGGUAAUACGUAGGGUGCGAGCGUUAAUCGGAAUUACUGGGCGUAAAGCGUGCGCAGGCGGCUUUGUAAGACGGAGGUGAAAUCCCUGGGCUUAACCAGGGAACUGCGUUCGUGACUGCAAAGCUGGAGGGCGGCAGAGGGGGGUGAAAUUCCUGGGGUAGCAGUAAAAUGCGUAGAGAUCAGGAGGAACACCGAGGGCGAGGGCAGCCCCCGGGGUUGGCACUGACGCUCAUGCGCGAAAGCGUGGGGAGCAAACAGGAUUAGAUCCCCUUGUAGU